UAUUUUUACUAGGAAUUUUCCUUUUAAAGGCAAAUUCCUAGUAAAACUGGUUUACAUGUUGUCCUGAUCAAUCUUUGGAAAAG
This is a long non-coding RNA of Sinocyclocheilus grahami, 83 nucleotides long. RefSeq lists it as uncharacterized. The record is from RefSeq and is a predicted model, not a curated record. NCBI's taxonomy places the organism in Eukaryota, Metazoa, Chordata, Actinopteri, Cypriniformes, Cyprinidae. The transcript has 3 exons.